GCGUCGGUGUUGCCCUGGGCGUUUGGCGCGAAAGCUGAGCAACGCUGUUUGAAGUUGUGUACUCUUCGAAGAUAUUGAACUCUUUUCGAAGAAAAUCUUUUGAAGACAAGAACAAAGGCACGGGCCAGCGUCAAUAAAGUGGAAGCAUCCCACGUUCGAGGGCAGCCGGUCGUAGGAGGCAGGAGAGUCGCAGCUGACUCUUUGACAGGUGCACGAGGAACGACGCAAGCUCCGCUCAUGUCUACGUUGCAGGUUGAACCCACCAGAGGGCAGACUGAUGCCAUCUCUGGACAGCUUGAGCAGCCUGUUCUUCUUGAAGUGACCCUUCCUCUUCUUCACGCUGGGCUUCUCCUGGUACAUCUGGUGGAUGAUGAUGUUCAGCUCCCGCUCCACGAUGUCGAUCUCUCGCUCGGCCAGCUCCUGUUCUCUCCUCCUCAGCUGCUCCUCCUGCUCCCUCUGCUCCUCGGCCGCUCGGGCCAGGGUCUCCUCCCAAGACCUCAGCUCCUGAAGAGAGGGGUUUGUUAGCGCCUCCUCUCACACUUCCUGCCGCUCGCUGCUGAGGUGUUGGCACCAACACUUCGCAGGCACACAAUGACAAGGUGAGAUGUUGCCGAUGAAGAAGACUUCAUGGGAUUUAUUCACCUUGCAACAUAACACUCCAGAAUGAUAUACCAUCUUUUUCUCAUUAAUUGUCAUUUAAAGUUUUUUUUAUCAUCAUUUUACAA
Nerophis ophidion (straightnose pipefish) is the source of this 725-nucleotide long non-coding RNA. RefSeq lists it as uncharacterized. NCBI's taxonomy places the organism in Eukaryota, Metazoa, Chordata, Actinopteri, Syngnathiformes, Syngnathidae. The transcript has 3 exons. The record is from RefSeq and is a predicted model, not a curated record.